RNAcentral lists this unclassified non-coding RNA (250 nucleotides) under plant metagenome. RNAcentral describes it as "partial contains small subunit ribosomal RNA, internal transcribed spacer 1, and 5.8S ribosomal RNA". The record is from RNAcentral.
GUAGGUGAACCUGCGGAAGGAUCAUUACCGAACCGUCAAACACGGGUUGUUGCUGGCCUCCCAAACGGGGCACGUGCACGCUCUGUUUACGCAUCCACUCACACCUGUGCACCCUCUGUAGUCCUAUGGUUCGGAAGACCCUGUCUUCCUUCUGUAGCUCUACGUCUUUACACACACGCCGUAGCGAUGUCUCAUGGAAUGUUUUUAUGCGUUUAACGCGAUACAAUACAACUUUCAGCAACGGAUCUCU